CAAUAGAUACCCGGGUAGUCCACGCCGUAAACGAUGAGUGCUAAGUGUUAGAGGGUUUCCGCCCUUUAGUGCUGCAGCAAACGCAUUAAGCACUCCGCCUGGGGAGUACGGUCGCAAGACUGAAACUCAAAGGAAUUGACGGGGGCCCGCACAAGCGGUGGAGCAUGUGGUUUAAUUCGAAGCAACGCGAAGAACCUUACCAGGCCUUGACAUCCUUCGCUACUUCUAGAGAUAGAAGGUUCCCCUUCGGGGGACGGAGUGACAGGUGGUGCAUGGUUGUCGUCAGCUCGUGUCGUGAGAUGUUGGGUUAAGUCCCGCAACGAGCGCAACCCUUGACCUUAGUUGCCAGCAUUCAGUUGGGCACUCUAAGGUGACUGCCGGUGACAAACCGGAGGAAGGUGGGGAUGACGUCAAAUCAUCAUGCCCCUUAUGACCUGGGCUACACACGUGCUACAAUGGAUGGUACAAAGGGCUGCAAGACUGCGAAGUCAAGCCAAUCCCAUAAAACCAUUCUCAGUUCGGAUUGCAGG
Molecule: ribosomal RNA, 530 nt
Filed under: uncultured bacterium
Lineage: Bacteria
Description: bacterial SSU rRNA
Rfam family: Bacterial small subunit ribosomal RNA
Source: RNAcentral